UCGAGGAUUCGGUUGCUGUUCU
RNAcentral lists this non-coding RNA (22 nucleotides) under Arabidopsis thaliana (thale cress). The record is from RNAcentral. Lineage: Eukaryota; Viridiplantae; Streptophyta; Magnoliopsida; Brassicales; Brassicaceae.